CAGCCGCCGCGGGAAUACGUAGGUGGCAAGCGUUGUCCGGAAUUAUUAGGCGUAAAGGGCUCGCAGGCGGUUUCUUAAGUCUGAUGUGAAAGCCCCCGGCUCAACCGGGGAGGGUCAUUGGAAACUGGGAAACUUGAGUGCAGAAGAGGAGAGUGGAAUUCCACGUGUAGCGGUGAAAUGCGUAGAGAUGUGGAGGAACACCAGUGGCGAAGGCGACUCUCUGGUCUGUAACUGACGCUGAGGAGCGAAAGCGUGGGGAGCGAACAGGAUUAGAUACCCCAGUAGUCCCUGUCUCUUAUAC
Molecule: ribosomal RNA, 301 nt
Filed under: uncultured bacterium
Lineage: Bacteria
Description: partial 16S ribosomal RNA
Rfam family: Bacterial small subunit ribosomal RNA
Source: RNAcentral